Molecule: long non-coding RNA, 1774 nt
Organism: Populus euphratica (Euphrates poplar)
Lineage: Eukaryota; Viridiplantae; Streptophyta; Magnoliopsida; Malpighiales; Salicaceae
Exons: 3
Source: RefSeq, a predicted model, not a curated record
UUGGUCUCUAUAUGAUACAGAUAUCUUGAAAGUCUGUAAAAAUUAUGAACAAUAUACUCGCAAUAAUCUCCUCCUAUAUAUCGACAGUUCAGCAAGUUGGGGAGCAUGCUUCAAAGGCAUUCUGAUAAUCAGUCCACAAUAGUUGAACGAUACAAGAUUCAUGGCUGACUGAGCAGCAAAUUCAAACCUUUUCUUUAUUUAAAUUAUGGAUUAGCAUGGUAAUCUAAUGACACUUUUAAAGGAAUAAUGGAAAAUCCUCCGGAUUCACCUGACUGUCUGCAAUCGAGAACUCAGGCCUCCAAUCCUUACACCUAGAAACUCCCAUCAGGAGGAAUGAAAAGAAUUUUGAAAGAGAAAAUCAAGAUCAUGCCUUCAGCACAUUCCCUUAAUUUAUCUUGAACCUCCAGAUUCAUCUAGAUCAUACAUAAGUACGGUGAUGAAAGCCGAAUCAUCUCUUCAUUGCAGAUUCGGCCAGUAUCUGAAUAGCUGAAUCCAUCGGAUAGCAACCGAGAACACGAGUAACAAUUACCAACUCCAGUAGAGGGGGAAACAGAAUAAAUUUUUAUGGAGUUCUUGUCUUUUGUAUUUGACGUGGAAAUUUCAGUUGACUGGAACGAGCUCCUUUGGGGCCAUCACAUAUUCCUCGAAACAGAUUUAUUCUUGGUUAACAAUCCCAUGUAGAUUGAUUAUGUACCAAGGAAAGGAAGAUACGCAUGGCCAGGAAGACAAAUUUAGAUUCUACUUUAUGCAAACAAAUGUUGGAAAACAGAUAUCCUUUAAAAGCCUUUUCAUAAUAUCUCAAAGGAACAUCUUCAUCUAUAAAUACUGGAAGCUGGACGUUGGAUGUCAACCUGACUUGCAAUGCCUUCCUAACAAGAACUCAUAAAGAAGACAGCUUCAUUCCCAAGGCCAGAAGAAAAAACAAGAAGGAACUAGACUAGCUUAAAAUUCAUAUAGUUUUCUAUUAUUUUUCGCAUGAGAUAUAUUGGCGAGCUUAUGGAAUUUGAUUAGAGUACAACAAGAAAAAUGAUUCAUUCGUAAACUAGCAAUCUUAACUGGUGUUCAAAUGUUUUAGAUAAGGGCUAAUUAUACUGAGAAAAAAAUAAAAAUCACUGUAAAACAAUAUUCUACAUAAAUUAAGCUUUUUUGAAUUUGUUUUUAAUAAUUAAAGAUAAAUAUUAUACUUACAUGCUAAGAAAUUGUCCAGUAUAUUAAUGCUUGUUAUUAAAGGUAAAAAAUUAAGACAGUGAUUCGAGACUCACCAAGGCAUCACAAUCAGAUCCUCACUUUUGAAAUACACGACCACUCAAGUAGAGAAAUCAUACCAAGGGAAGUCUCAAAUUCCUCUCUCUCGUUUUCUCUCUUCUCUAAGCCUUUUUCCCUACUGCUAGUAUUGAUUAUGCAUUGUUGUAUUGGAUAUGUUAGUGAGGAGUGAGAGAAAGGCCAUACGAGUUUGGUGGUGGUUAUGUGAUGAUUGCGUGAGCAAGGGCAGCUAGUGUGUGGUGGUUUGGUUCUUGACGGAUCAGCAUGAGUGAUGGUGCUUCUGCGAUGAUUGCGUAAGGAGUGAUGUUGGUACUGUUGAUAAUGCAUUAUUGUAUUGGAUAUGUCAAUGAGAUGUGAGAGAAAGGCCAUACGGGUUUGGUGGUGGUUCUGUGAUGAUUGCAUGAGCAAGGGCAACUAGUGUGUGGUGGUUGGUUCGUGACGGAUCGGCAACAGUGAUGAUGGCGUUGCGGAUGGCUAGUAGAGAAGGGUUAGUUUGGUCCAGUUUGUUGUU